GGAUAUAAGGACAAUCUGGACUUGGUAUUUCACUCCAGCCUCCACAGGGUUAUCAGGCCGGGUAGACAGGCUCCUUCCUCACCAUUCCUUGUGCUUCCCUUCCCAAACACCCAGUUGAAGAGGACAGCCUUCCCUGACUGAGGAGGACCAUUCUUCAGCCAAA
This 163-nucleotide small nuclear RNA is filed under the name Rattus norvegicus (Norway rat). RNAcentral describes it as "7SK RNA". It matches the Rfam family "7SK RNA", at positions 1 to 188 of the family's 331-position model. Rfam says of the family: 7SK was discovered as an abundant small nuclear RNA in the mid-70s but a possible function has only recently been suggested. Lineage: Eukaryota; Metazoa; Chordata; Mammalia; Rodentia; Muridae. The record is from Rfam by way of RNAcentral.